Long non-coding RNA from Actinia tenebrosa (Australian red waratah sea anemone), 243 nucleotides. NCBI's taxonomy places the organism in Eukaryota, Metazoa, Cnidaria, Anthozoa, Actiniaria, Actiniidae. The record is from RefSeq and is a predicted model, not a curated record.
UCUUGAAGUUGUCAUUAAACCAGGAGAAAAUAAAGAUCGCAAUUAAAAAUGGCCAUCUUCAUGACUUCUACAGCCCCAAAUCUAUCAGCUAAGUAGUCCUUGGUCUUAAAGAUAGCUUGACACAACUUUGGCUUUCCGAUCCUUCAUUCACAAAACUCUGAUGCGGUUAAUGAAGCGAAAGUCCUUGGGCAGUAUGUUUGCAGACCAUUGAUUAUUUCCACCUAAUAAAAACGUUAAGCAUAA